Xenopus laevis (African clawed frog) is the source of this 2059-nucleotide long non-coding RNA. RefSeq lists it as uncharacterized. NCBI's taxonomy places the organism in Eukaryota, Metazoa, Chordata, Amphibia, Anura, Pipidae. The record is from RefSeq and is a predicted model, not a curated record. The transcript has 2 exons.
UUGGGGGUUUAUCACAGCAUCUUGGCAGUUGGGAGGGUUUCUGUGGGGGCAGGUGAGAACCCAGGAAAAAAGAAUGCUGGACAAAUGUGAGGGAGCUGGGCAGCUGAGAGGAGGCAGCUAGAGAGCUGGAGAAGCCAGAGGAGCCUGCGACAAGACAUGUGAGGAAUGAAGACCAGAGGGGAAGGCAGAGAUGAAGCCAAACUCUAUUCCCCUGCCUUUUUGAAACUUUUUCUGUGCAACUUUGACUUGGAAAACAAAAUCAGCGUGGCUCGGCUCCUUGUGGAAUUAAAGGCGGGUGGAUUUAGCCAAGAGCAUGAAGAAGCCAUACAAGCACAUUUUUAACCUGUUUACCACUGUUUGUUUUUCUACACAAGUCUGUCAUCUCUUAUCUAGUGGAUGAUUUCAAAACCAUCUGAGUAGUAUACCCUACAUAUCAGGUAUUGUAGAUUAUAGGAGUCAUCUAUACCCCCACUCCAAGCAUGCUCUUGCUCCUAUUAAUGCUCAUGCACUUCUGCCAUGGGGAUUGUAACUACCCUCCAAUGACUCUUAAGACUUAUUAUUUAUCUUUAAUUUAGACUCUCUUUAAAGCACAUUUGCAUUUAGAGUUAUUCUGAGGCUUUAUCAUUGCUUGGCUUGGCUGAAGCAUUUCUAAGCAACAAUCAUGAAUCAAUUGUGAAGCUGUAUGAUUGUAUCACUAUUAAUUUAUAAAACUGAUGUCCGCAUUUGCAUUAUAGUGUGCUACUGAUCUUUUGUCUACGAUAAAUAUCUCUGCCAUUGCAUGCAACAUGGCAGCAAUCAUUCUUGAAUAAACAGAAAUGCAUAUUGUAUAAAUGGGGCAUAUUUUAACUUAAAGCACAAACCAGUGGCACCCCUCAUCUGCACAUAUGAAAAAAAUAUGAUGUGCACUAAAAAAGCAAUUUACUGUAGAUUUUUAUUUAGGCGCUUACUAAGACCUACUUCAGACUAAUUUCGAAAUUAAGUGUGCUUCAAUUUGGCAAAGCAAAAUAUUAUUGGACUGUUCCCUGUACUAAUUAUGAUGUGGUUUAUCUGGAGACUGUGUUAUCUCUGUCUCUCUUGAACAGGUGGCCAUUUAGUGUUUGAUCAUUUUUAUAUCUAUAACUAUUAUCAUAACACAAAGAGGGGGGAAAUGGCUAUACACAUAAUGAAAAACUAAGAGUCUAGGCUUGCACUAGGAGGUGUCGGUGUGUUUGUAUGGCUGCGCAUAAAUGCAUACAGGUGAGGUUCCGGAGACCAGUUGCUAUUGGGAUCUUGGAAGCAGUAUCUGGCAGAUCCUGAUGAUAUGGACGUUUAAUGUUGGCUUUUCCAGUUUGGUUUUAUUGAAAUACACAGAGCCAAGUGUUGGUUCUUUUAGAUAAGUACAUUUUGAACCUCCAAAUCCCAGAUAGGUUGUAAGGCUGCAGCUCUCAGCUUGCGUUUUUUCUUUAUUCAGAGAGAAGCAGAUUUGCUACCUUCCUUAUCUGCAUUGAAAAGUACAGCUUCUGCUUCAGUGCAGGUAAAUGCGUAAGCGAUCGCAUUAAAUUCUCUCCACCUGCAGAAAAAAGCAAACUGAGAGCAGAGGAACCAACACUCCGUGUGCCUGCAGCCUACGAGAGGCCACUUAAUAUAAAUCACAAGUUCAUAAAUUAAAUUAUUUUUAAUUGUUAGAUAAAGGGAAGUCGACAUUCAACAAAACAAAAAAGCCCAAUGUAUUUAAGAGCUUAGAGCCCAACAGUAAGUGAGAAUAAUCAGUGGAAAAAUGGACGCUUGUAAUAUAUGUAAUGUAUUUUCGUGCGUUUUUUGUUUGAGGAGCAAGAAAUAUUCUAAAUAAAAGAUAGGCCCAGUUUUGGAAGUGGAAAGAUUAUUGUAAAUUGAGUUUGUGAAAAUGACACAACAAAAAGGCAGGCAGAUUGUGCUGCACAGUGACAGAAGUUUGGGGUAACUAGCUAUUAUAAGGCACAACCAUCUAAGCAUGCUAAAUUUAUAAUUUACAGAACAAUCGAUAAGGCUUUUAACAGAAGCCAAAGCAGGUAUUUUUAUUUUGGAAAUAAACUCAAUCAGC